RNAcentral lists this long non-coding RNA (2110 nucleotides) under Coturnix japonica (Japanese quail). Its description in RNAcentral is "lncRNA (ENSCJPG00005006970.1)". The record is from RNAcentral. Lineage: Eukaryota; Metazoa; Chordata; Aves; Galliformes; Phasianidae.
AUGUGUGUUCCCCAAAGAAACAAGUUGUCACUCUUGGUGUGCGAGUGCUGUAGAAGCAUGCAGCAGAGCAGAUGCCAUUUAACCAGUCCAGACCAGUUGCAACCUGUGUUUUGUGAAGGGGAGCCUAAAAGUUUCUGGCCACAAAGAAGCAAACUGCAGGGAAAACAAGGAAGUACUGGCAAAGACAAGCUGAUGGGAUCAGAGAACUUUUCAGUAAGUUUUGAUAAUGAGCAUUUUUCCACGCAUACUUACAAGUAAUGAGAUAACACACAGAAAUUAUCUAAAUUAAUGACAAUACGAGGGUGAAUUCCAAAUGAGGGUAAUUGCUCUUUAUCCUCCUAUGGAGAAGAUCCCAGAUAUCCAGAGGUGAGGAAGCAGUGCCUCCACUGCUUUCUUAUCUUGCAGUUGCUGUCUGGAAGGCAGAGCUGAGUGGGCUGAGUGUCAGAUUGCUCACCCUAAGCUCCUUUUCUCUUUCCUUCAGGUGAGAAUGAAGUUAGAGCAGUGUGGGAAGGAAAAGCACUUCAAUCAUCUUUCCAGAUGGAAUUUGGAAAUGCUCUCUAAAAUUAAACUUUUCCCCUGGUUCCCCCCAGUAGUCUUUAUCACUUGACAAAGUCAUAUUUCCUUUUAUUCUGGUGUAGAUUCUUUAGAGCAAACGUGUGAAAUCAGUCAUUUUAACGAUGACUGAAACUUUUUGGCUUUCGAGAAACGCCAAGAAACAAAAAAGAUAAGAAUCAUUUGCAGUGUCUAAUCCUGAUUAGUAAUGGUUAUUAACUCCAAAAUGCAUUGCAUUGCUUUAGGAAGCCAAAAAUCUCUUAUGUUUACUUCCUAUCCUGUAGUAAUAUACCUCAUUUUACAAAAAAAUGAGCUUCUUUUUCUUUUUGCUUUAGUAAAUGGAGAAUUAUUUCACGUGGCCAUAUAUCCACUAUUCAUUUUUUUUUUGGUCAUUUCGUGAAUUACUAAUUUCAUAGAAUGACUGUAACAGUUAUUACAAGGAUCAUUAAGAAGGGAUAUAAAAAUAAUGUGUAGAAAUAUUCCAACGAUUGUUGUUAGUGUCUAUUUUUAUUCAGAAUUCUUGCAUGCCUAUACAGCCAGAGGGGUGAUUUCAAACUGUGGCUCUCUUUGCAUUUAUGAUGUGGUAGCUGCCAAAAUCUUCAAGCGAGUAAAAGCUAUUUGGCCAUGCUGCCAAAUGUGAUACCCCUCUGAAACAUUUCUGUUUGCUAUGACUCUCACAAGAGAAAUGCCUUCUGUUUGAACAUUCAGAUAUCAAUAACCCAUCAUGGCUUUUAUACAGCACCUGAGAAUACAGUUACUACUGCUUGAUCUCAAAGAAGUGUAAGGACUCAACGCGGAUUGCAAAUCCUAGUGUACAAUAUAAUCAUAGAAACACUGAGGUUGGAAAAGACCUCUAAGAUCAUCAGGUCCAACCACAAGCCCACCCUCACCAUGUGCACUGCCCACAUCCCUCAGUGCCACAUCCACACAGUUCCUGAACACCUCCAGGGAUUGUGACUUCACCACCUCCCUGGGCAGCCUGUGCCACUGCAGCACCACAGCUUCUGAGAGGAAAUGUUUCCUGAUAUCCACCCUGAAGCUCUCCUGGUGUAACUUAAGGCCAUUCUCUCUUGCCCUAUCACUAGUUACCUGCAAUGAGCAGGUCAUCCCACACGUAUGAGAUACUGCAGAACUGGAAUCUCUUCUGUAAUUGAGUGUGGUAAUUUUUUCCUUUAUUUGUAGUUCUCCCGUGUUGCCCUUUAUAAAUGCUACUGGUAUAUGGGCUUGAACCUAAUGUUUACUGACACUCGUGUGACAGCUUUUAGAGACAAAGAGUCUCACCAGCUUAGAAUUCAGCUGUGAAUUUGGCCUUAUUUCAAAAGGGACAUCUGAAAAACAGUGUUUCAUCUUCAAAUGUGAGUAUUGUGGAAUUACAGUGUAUUUUUAUAAAAUGGUGGCCCAGGAAUGGUGGAGUACAGGACCACUGUAUGGCCUUAUCAAGGAGUUAAUGUACACUUCAAGACUCUCCAUGCUGCUGUUACUUAUCAGGGGAAAUCUGCUCCUACAAGAUCAGCUUCUGGAUAAUAAACCAUAAUUUGUGCUUUUUUUCUUUGUAGUC